Molecule: ribosomal RNA, 231 nt
Filed under: Dictyostelium discoideum
Lineage: Eukaryota; Evosea; Eumycetozoa; Dictyosteliales; Dictyosteliaceae
Description: partial large subunit ribosomal RNA
Rfam family: Bacterial large subunit ribosomal RNA
Source: RNAcentral
GGAUAACAGGCUAGUCACAUAUUAGAGUUCAUAUCUGUUAUGUGGUUCGGCACCUCGAUGUCGGCUUAACACAUCCCGGAGUUGAAAAAGUUUCCAAGGGUUGGGGUGUUCACCCAUUAAAGUGUUACAUGAGCUGGGUUUAAAACGUCGUGAGACAGUUUGGUCCCUAUCUACUGUUAAAAACGAAAAAAUUAAAAUCCUUCCUUUAGUACGAGAGGACUGAGGUGGGUC